RNAcentral lists this long non-coding RNA (661 nucleotides) under Ananas comosus (pineapple). Its description in RNAcentral is "long non-coding RNA (ACOM_LNC026815)". Lineage: Eukaryota; Viridiplantae; Streptophyta; Magnoliopsida; Poales; Bromeliaceae. The record is from RNAcentral.
GGAAUUGUUUAGGAUUUGUUUGAGAUCAAAAUAUUUAAAUGUAUGGUUCAGAAUCAAAUUCAUAGCUUAAAAAUUUUGAAUGCUUUUUUUUAUUUGUCAAAUUCUCAGUCGUGAAUCACAUAAAAUGUCUAAUGCGAUUAAAUCUCAAUUUGGUCUAAUUCAACCAAAUCGAAAGAUUCAACUUUGGAUAGAAUCAAAGAGUUCGAUUAUUUUUCGAACAUCCCACAGUUCUUCCAAUAAAAGGACAAUCAAAAGAAUAUUAAUCAAUAACCCGAUUAAUUUUCUUUUGUCUCCUCAUUAUAGAAGAAUUAAGAGAGAAUUUUUUUUCUCUUUAUCUCCUUUAAAGAUACAAGACAACAAAGAUAGAUAAUUCUUCUUUGUCUCUUUUACAUUCAUGGGACAACUAAGGUGGAAAAAUCCCUUCCUAGCCUCCCUUUUUGUAACAAAGCUCCCUCUCUCUUUCAUAAUUAGAGGAGUAAUCUUUUUCCCUCUUUCUCUCUUUUUUUUUGCAAAGAGAAGAGCACCGCUCUCUCCCUCUUUCGAUGAUGCUAUAAAGGGAAGAGCACCGCUCACUCCCUUUUGUUAAAACAUUUUUAUAAAGAGAAGAGCACCGCUCUCUCUCUUUAUAUACAGAUCGGGUUCGACGUUAAAAGUACAUCUU